This 305-nucleotide ribosomal RNA is filed under the name uncultured Ehrlichia sp. RNAcentral describes it as "bacterial SSU rRNA". It matches the Rfam family "Bacterial small subunit ribosomal RNA", at positions 112 to 434 of the family's 1533-position model. Lineage: Bacteria; Pseudomonadati; Pseudomonadota; Alphaproteobacteria; Rickettsiales; Anaplasmataceae. The record is from RNAcentral.
AAUGCGUAGGAAUCUACCUAGUAGUAUGGAAUAGCUAUUAGAAAUGAUAGGUAAUACUGUAUAAUCCCUGCGGGGGAAAGAUUUAUCGCUAUUAGAUGAGCCUACGUUAGAUUAGCUAGUUGGUGAGGUAAUGGCUCACCAAGGCGAUGAUCUAUAGCUGGUCUGAGAGGACGAUCAGCCACACUGGAACUGAGAUACGGUCCAGACUCCUACGGGAGGCAGCAGUGGGGAAUAUUGGACAAUGGGCGAAAGCCUGAUCCAGCUAUGCCGCGUGAGUGAAGAAGGCCUUCGGGUUGUAAAACUCU